Molecule: long non-coding RNA, 1056 nt
Filed under: Oreochromis niloticus (Nile tilapia)
Lineage: Eukaryota; Metazoa; Chordata; Actinopteri; Cichliformes; Cichlidae
Description: lncRNA (ENSONIG00000033215.1)
Source: RNAcentral
AUGCAAGAGAGAUUCCGAUUUUGGGGCUAUGCCUUCAGCCUAAGAGAGAGCAAAAUCUUUUUCUACCAGCUAAAAGGAGGUGAAAGUUUUGGUCCCCUCACACCGCGGAUCGCCUUUACUUUGUCUAAUUGGGGUGUUUUGAGCCUCAUCGCUACGCCCGAAGUGCAGAAGAGCCUGCGGGAAACGAGCUCGCAACAACCGAGAACCAGGGAUCAACAACAACUCGCGUCGCUUUCCCUAUGUGCAUAUCACUCGACUCUCAUUUAAGCCAGAUGUGUUAACCUGAUCCCUGCGAAACACCAGCUCUCCGUGGAUUUUGACCGCGAGUGACCGGAUGUUGUUUCCGGCCUGAGGUUGCCUGAAAUGCCGUGAGGCUCGUUUGAAAGAUUGCGCCCGAGACCAACUCCGCCUCCAAGGCGUGCCUACCUUUAGCUGCCACCAGUGAGAUAUCAGAGCCGGGCUCCACAUAUCCAAUCAGGAGCACGAGCAAGACAGCUUUUGCAGACUCUCCAGAAAUAUACAAGUCCUUACCAACUGCUCUGCAACCCAGUGUUUCUGGUCCCCUCACUAACAUCGCUUUUUGAGAUAUUUUUUAUGAACCACCAAAAAAGCAAUUUUUGCCCCCCAGUACACAAGACUGGAUCUGAGGGCAGCAGCGGGGACAAAUGAUUGUAAUGAAGCGACGGACAUUUCAUGGCUGGUCUUAGAUAAUCGUGAGUUAUUGUGUCUUAUGGUGAGUAGUUUUGCAAGAGGCAUACAAGCACUGUGGAAAAAGUAAUUGUGUGUAAGUCCUCUAAAACUGUUUUUUGUGAACACUUUGCUCCCCACGUUAUGCUUUAAAAAAUUUGAUACAUGUAAUGUGAUCAUCAAAGAACAUGUUCUUUUUAAAAACACUCAUUCUUAUGCUUUUAAACUAUGUCAGAUUAUCAUAAAACACUUAUUUGUAUGUUAUAAUGUUUUUCUUACACCAUGUGUAAUUUUCAUUCACACCUUGUUCAUUGUAUCAAUGUGUAAUUAUGUAUCUUUGAUAAAUAAAUAAAAUAUUUAAUCCUGUAU